RNAcentral lists this ribosomal RNA (598 nucleotides) under uncultured archaeon. RNAcentral's name for it is "bacterial SSU rRNA". It matches the Rfam family "Archaeal small subunit ribosomal RNA", at positions 200 to 800 of the family's 1478-position model. The record is from RNAcentral.
GGCCUCUGGAUUGGACUGCGGCCGAUCAGGCUGUUGGUGAGGUAAUGGCCCACCAAACCUGUAACCGGUACGGGCUCUGAGAGGAGGAGCCCGGAGAUGGGCACUGAGACAAGGGCCCAGGCCCUAUGGGGCGCAGCAGGCGCGAAACCUCUGCAAUAGGCGAAAGCCUGACAGGGUUACUCUGAGUGACUUUCGCUAAGAAAGUCUUUUGGCACCUCUAAAAAGGGUGCAGAAUAAGGGGUGGGCAAGUCUGGUGUCAGCCGCCGCGGUAAUACCAGCACCCCGAGUGGUCGGGACGAUUAUUGGGCCUAAAGCAUCCGUAGCCGGUUCUGCAAGUCCUCCGUUAAAUCCAGCUGCUCAACAGAUGGGCCGCGGAGGAUACUACAGAGCUAGGAGGCAGGAGAGGCAAGCGGUACUCAGUGGGUAGGGGUAAAAUCCGUUGGUCCAUUGAAGACCACCAGUGGCGAAGGCGGCUUGCCAGAAUGCGCUCGACGGUGAGGGAUGAAAGCUGGGGGAGCAAACCGGAUUAGAUACCCGGGUAGUCCCAGCCGUAAACGAUGCAGACUCGGUGAUGGGUUGGCUUCGCGCUAACCCAGUG